UACGUAGGUGGCGAGCGUUGUCCGGAUUUACUGGGCGUAAAGGGAGCGUAGGCGGACUUUUAAGUGAGAUGUGAAAUACCCGGGCUUAACUUGGGUGCUGCAUUUCAAACUGGAAGUCUAGAGUGCAGGAGAGGAGAAUGGAAUUCCUAGUGUAGCGGUGAAAUGCGUAGAGAUUAGGAAGAACACCGGCGGCGAAGGCGGCUUGCUGGACGGCAACUGACGUUGAGGCUCGAAAGCGUGGGGAGCAAACAGGAUUAGAUACCCGGGUAGUCCCUGA
This 277-nucleotide ribosomal RNA is filed under the name uncultured prokaryote. RNAcentral's name for it is "partial 16S ribosomal RNA". It matches the Rfam family "Bacterial small subunit ribosomal RNA", at positions 524 to 800 of the family's 1533-position model. The record is from RNAcentral.